Molecule: long non-coding RNA, 1751 nt
Filed under: Macaca fascicularis (crab-eating macaque)
Lineage: Eukaryota; Metazoa; Chordata; Mammalia; Primates; Cercopithecidae
Description: lncRNA (ENSMFAG00000056746.1)
Source: RNAcentral
AGUUCACCAAAAAUUUUAAGAAUACACACAAACUUAGAAAGCAAAACAUAAACAACAACAAGACCCAAUGCUUUUUCAGGCUCUCUAAGAACCACUGUGAUGAGCUAAUAGUCCCCAAAGAAGAAAGUAGUUGCCCUUUUAUUUGACACAAGACAUCAACCACACACCAAAGUGGAACUGUCUCCACAGGGAUACUCUAGCCUUCUGCGAACCCUGACACUGGGUGUAAACCCACACUGCCCUUGUCUGCAGAGCCCCGCAUGGGGAGCCCCUCCCAGCUCCUCCAAACUGAGGAGGAAGAAACACCCAGUCACGAGGUCAUCUGUCUGGUCUGAGGAACACCAGGAGAUGAUCUUGACAAGCCCAGGAAUCCCACUGAGUUCCUUAAACCCCCCAAAUAGCAAGGCCUGUGUGGACACCAAGGCAGCAGCCUCAGCUCAGAAGUAGCAGUCGAAGACUCUGGUGCCUGACACCCAUAUAAACUGAAGUAACUGAUUAAACUUCAUUGCUUCAUAGCAAGUCCCUCCAGAACUCUGUGGGAAGAAGUGUCUCCCAACACGAGCAUAAAUGGACAUGGCUCAGGUGAAGGUGCUGGCAAGAUGAGGCCCAUCAGAGAAGGCCAACAGCAUGGGCCACGCAGUCCUGUAAGGCAGGAACACCAGCUAGCUGGUCCUCCCUAGUGGAGGGGAGCCGCCUCCUUGACUACAGCUCAAGGCAUAUCAGGAUACUGGGUAUUCACAUUACUUUUCCAGGGAAGCCCCCUCCCAGCUCCUUCUCCAGUUUCCAAGAUUCCUACCCUAUUUCCCAGGAUGGUUUCCCUGUUAGGUGAUGGGACGGCUGCCGGAUGUCCUGGCCUGGGCAUCCUCUCCCUCCAGAGAAAUCAAAGGGCAGAACUUCAAGACAUGCAGGUAGCUCUUGAGAACAAGGAGACGAAGGGAGGAAAGCCAGAGAGGAAGAGAAAAAGAAAAGGAGAGUGCACAUGGGUAACAAACGAACAAGAGGGAGGCUGGGGAACCAUGAGCUGAGGGAGCAAGGAAAGGAACAGACACGUCUGCCAACUGUGUGUGUGGGUGGACAGGAACAUGGAGCUCUGGCCUGUCCAUGGAGUUCAGCUGUCCCCCUACCCAGCAACUCAGCACCAGACAUCGUAGGGCUUGAUCUAUGUUGUAACCAAGCCUACUUCUUUAAAGUAGCCAGGCCCCAGGGCUUGCCCAUCCCAUCAUGCAGCAUAGCCCUGAAAGGCCUUUCAGGGACAGGAAGGAACUCAUUGUCCCUCUUACAAAGCUCCGCAGAGCUGAAAGCUUCUGGAAUCCCUCCACUUGGCUGGGCCCACAGACACUACUCUUCUGUCCAGCAUCUGGCAGAGGCCCCAGUGGACGUCAGGGAGAACAGCCCCUCCCCACCACUGCCACCACCCUCCACGCAGACCAAACCCACAAGAAUCCAACCUUGUUCCAUAUGAGCCAGCAGCUCUCUUCCAAGCUGGCAUCCCCUUUCAUUGGCACUAGGACAACGUGCCAGGCCGUGUGCAGGAUGCACCGGAGGACUCAAAGAUGAGUGAGACACAGUCUCUGCCAUCAUCGACAGCACCAGGGCUGUGCCUGGGUCACAGUCAACUCUGUAACUCCUCCCAUGCCCUCAAGAAAACAGUUUCCCUAUAGUUCUCAGGAAGCACAGCUUUUCCAAAAGGAAAAAAGUCCACUGUGUCUAAUGCACAGAGAUGCAUGUGUGAACCUGGAGGUCAAAGAUCA